UCGAACGGUGAGCAGAGCUUGCUCUGUGGAUCAGUGGCGAACGGGUGAGUAACACGUGAGCAACCUGCCCCUGACUCUGGGAUAAGCGCUGGAAACGGCGUCUAAUACUGGAUACGAACAAGAAUCGCAUGGUUACUUGUUGGAAAGAUUUAUUGGUUGGGGAUGGGCUCGCGGCCUAUCAGCUUGUUGGUGAGGUAAUGGCUCACCAAGGCGUCGACGGGUAGCCGGCCUGAGAGGGUGACCGGCCACACUGGGACUGAGACACGGCCCAGACUCCUACGGGAGGCAGCAGUGGGGAAUAUUGCACAAUGGGCGCAAGCCUGAUGCAGCAACGCCGCGUGAGGGAUGACGGCCUUCGGGUUGUAAACCUCUUUUAGCAGGGAAGAAGCGAGAGUGACGGUACCUGCAGAAAAAGCACCGGCUAACUACGUGCCAGCAGCCGCGGUAAUACGUAGGGUGCAAGCGUUAUCCGGAAUUAUUGGGCGUAAAGAGCUCGUAGGCGGUUUGUCGCGUCUGCUGUGAAAUCUGGGGGCUCAACCCCCAGCCUGCAGUGGGUACGGGCAGACUAGAGUGCGGUAGGGGAGAUUGGAAUUCCUGGUGUAGCGGUGGAAUGCGCAGAUAUCAGGAGGAACACCGAUGGCGAAGGCAGAUCUCUGGGCCGUAACUGACGCUGAGGAGCGAAAGGGUGGGGAGCAAACAGGCUUAGAUACCCUGGUAGUCCACCCCGUAAACGUUGGGAACUAGUUGUGGGGUCCAUUCCACGGAUUCCGUGACGCAGCUAACGCAUUAAGUUCCCCGCCUGGGGAGUACGGCCGCAAGGCUAAAACUCAAAGGAAUUGACGGGGACCCGCACAAGCGGCGGAGCAUGCGGAUUAAUUCGAUGCAACGCGAAGAACCUUACCAAGGCUUGACAUAUACGAGAACGGGCCAGAAAUGGUCAACUCUUUGGACACUCGUAAACAGGUGGUGCAUGGUUGUCGUCAGCUCGUGUCGUGAGAUGUUGGGUUAAGUCCCGCAACGAGCGCAACCCUCGUUCUAUGUUGCCAGCACGUAAUGGUGGGAACUCAUGGGAUACUGCCGGGGUCACUCGGAGGAAGGUGGGGAUGACGUCAAAUCAUCAUGCCCCUUAUGUUUGGGCUUCMGGMUGCUACAUGGCCGGUACAUGGGCUGNAWNACGUGAGGUGGACSAAUCCCAAAAGCCGGUCCAGUUCGGAUGAG
RNAcentral lists this ribosomal RNA (1218 nucleotides) under Microbacterium sp. Its description in RNAcentral is "bacterial SSU rRNA". Lineage: Bacteria; Bacillati; Actinomycetota; Actinomycetes; Micrococcales; Microbacteriaceae. The record is from RNAcentral.